Molecule: non-coding RNA, 856 nt
Organism: Lolium perenne
Lineage: Eukaryota; Viridiplantae; Streptophyta; Magnoliopsida; Poales; Poaceae
Source: RefSeq, a predicted model, not a curated record
UCUUCAGGGAAGAUGCUUGUUGAGAUUUCGGACUAAUAUUCUACCUCUGCAUAUCUAUACGCACUCCAUUGACCCGGCCAGUGGCAGAGCAAGUUGCCUGAAUAAGACUGCAUAUAUGUCUCUAUCCCCGCAACGUUGACAUGACCAGUGGGAGAGCAACUUGCCUCAAGAGAUACUCACAUGAUAAAUAGGCGUGCAAGCCUCGAGCCAGGGCACAUCAGCGAUCGAUCGAUCAAUUUUUCUUCUCCCUAUAGCUGGCUGGAGAUAGAGGAUGGCACUUCGUCCACGCUCGUCUCUGCGCUCCCUGAUGCUGCUCAUGUCGCACGGGAAGCCGCGACUGAGUUCUUUCUCCACCUCCGCCCCCGCUGCUGUUCCGCCCACUCCGGCCGCUCCUGAGGUUCAGCCUCCAGCCGCUCCAGCUCUGCCAGGCUGCUCAAUUCACAAGUCUCCUGAUCAUGAAGGAUUGGUUCUGUACGACGUCGACCAAGAUCCUAAACACCCAAUUCCUGAUUGUGGUUCAUAUACAAGCACCACUGAACCUGAAUGUGGCCCUGACAAGCCUCGGCUGAUACCCGGCCUGGGCAACAUACCAAUAGUCCCACUCCCUGGUCCGUAAGGUGUUAAGGUGGGAUCCCGGUGGGAUCUCACUUCUAGUUUAAAAUUUUGUGUUAAAAGCAUAAACUAAAAAAGAAAAAUGUACUACGAAGGUAGGAUCCCACUUGACACCCUACUCCUCCGAAUGCCCAAACUUAAAGUUGUAAUGUCGAUCCUUUACUGUGUGUGCGUGUUAUAUACUGUACACUUUGUUUCUUAAUGUUGUUGUAAUGUGAUGAAUAUAUCCUUGUUCUGCUUGUAA